GACGUGACUUCAGAGUUUGAUCCUGGCUCAGGACGAACGCUGGCGGCGUGCCUAACACAUGCAAGUCGAACGGGGUAGAGAGCUUCGGUUUUCUACUUAGUGGCGAACGGGUGAGUAACGCGUGAGAAACCUGCCUUUCAGUGGGGGACAACAGUUGGAAACGACUGCUAAUACCGCAUAAUGUUUCGAGAGGGCAUCCUCUUGAAACCAAAGCUUUAUGUGCUGAAAGAUGGUCUCGCGUCUGAUUAGCUAGUUGGUGAGGUAACGGCUCACCAAGGCGACGAUCAGUAGCCGGUCUGAGAGGAUGAACGGCCACAUUGGGACUGAGAUACGGCCCAG
RNAcentral lists this ribosomal RNA (339 nucleotides) under uncultured bacterium. RNAcentral describes it as "bacterial SSU rRNA". It matches the Rfam family "Bacterial small subunit ribosomal RNA", at positions 1 to 334 of the family's 1533-position model. The record is from RNAcentral.